Long non-coding RNA from Bombus pyrosoma, 2156 nucleotides. RefSeq lists it as uncharacterized. The record is from RefSeq and is a predicted model, not a curated record. The transcript is spliced from 2 exons. NCBI's taxonomy places the organism in Eukaryota, Metazoa, Arthropoda, Insecta, Hymenoptera, Apidae.
ACAUGUUAAUGUGCGUGCAAACGUCAGAGGGCGUUCAGGUCUCGGUUGAGACAAAAGGCGAUUGGAAGCUGUUGGAAGAAUCUAGAAGAGUCGGUUGACAAGAAGCGUAGCUCGAGCUGCAGCACGUCAAUUCUACUUCUUGUGGAAUUAACAUGCACCGGGUACGGCUCUUCCUCUCCACGUUCUUCAAGGGCCGCCGACAGAAACUGACGACCAUGGGAGUGCAAUAAAAAGCCAAAGAAGAUUCGAACAUGUCCCCAUACGACGUCUAAAAUCUAUCGAGGAACUUUGAAGCGACUAUCUCGUGUAUUGCUAAUAGACGAUGGGGGCGGUUAGAGGGUUAAUUGGAAUGUCGUUUACUUAACUGGUCAACCGAUCGAUUAAAUAAAUUUUGUCACCGAUCAAUCCGACGUUGAUCGUCACGACGCGAAGUAUCGCGCAACAGUUUUAAGUGCGAUAAUUCGAGUCGCCGAAGCCGCAAGACUAUCGCGUUCUCUUUCGUUCGAAUCGCAUUGCGACACUUACGUUUGCUUUGUACACGCGUUCGCGGUAUCAUUAUGCGUUUCACAAGCUUGUUUGCGCGAGAACACGCGACACGACGAAAGGAACUGCAGACAGCGAGAUUUCGAAGCUGGAAAGUUAUCGUUAUGCGAACGCACCUGUUGUCAAGAUAAUUGGGAUCGUCAUUAUUCAGUAGACAGUCGUGUUUCGAGCGAUCGCACGAUGCUUUAUUAUUCCUCACGGAUUAUUACGUUGUUUUUGCGUCAGCGAGCGUGUAGCGGUGUAUAAAUAAAGGCGGGAGCAAGGGGGAUCCCUUUGAAAAGCUUGGAAGGGUCGACAAGCAACCAAGCAAUAAAUAUUGAUCCAUGCAUCGGUUAAAUGCGAUUUGGUGCUAUUUGUAGCGGUCCCUUUGCAAUCCGAUCAUAAUGAAUUUAUAGAGAUUGCUUGAACACAUUUUGAUCGAACGAUAAGAAUAUCGUAGCGAUUGAAAGGCCGGCGAUAAUAGGGAAACGGAUCCAAACAUUAAAUUGUAUUUAAUGGAAGAGAAUUCUUAAAAUAUGUAACCGCUUGAUUAUUUAGUCAGUGGCACAAGCAUCUUUCCUCUUCGACAGUCAGAUAAAAAUAACAGUAGUCGUUCGGUACGAAUGCCCUGUCUCGAACCAAAUUAUAAUAUAUCUUUUCGUGUGCAAGAUUUUAGCUCGUGGGUUGGAGGAUGGAUUUGUUAUCCAGGAGGCAAGAAAUGUCGAAAAAUCGCUGGUAGAUGGAUACAUAUGUCGACAAGAAAGGGGGAAAACGUAAGAAAGAAAUUAAGAAAACUGUACUGGAGGCGUUGAUAAAUGGGAUAUUGAAACUAGGAAGAGACUCGAGAGUAACGUGAAGGAAAUAUCGAAGUGAAUUGCAAGAGCUUGUAUUCAACUUGUAUUCGAUUAUGAUUACUUUAAGAUAGAGACCAGGUGAAACGAAUAGGUUUGAUGAUUUUCUUUCUCUUUUAUAUAUCUUCGGAUAUAUGACAUAUUUUAUACUAUUUAUAAAGCCGAAUGGGAUAUAUCGUUCAUCUCUUUAGUACGGAAUAACAAAAUAUAACUGUUUCCAUAACUUAGUUAACUAUUCACGUCCAUUGGCAGAUAUCUAAUGAAGUCGUUGAUUUAUUCAGCGAUAAUAAUGAAAUAUUUCCUACGUAACAGACAAUUAGCGAGGCCAUUAGAGCGUUGGUUUGUAAUGCUAGAAUCAUUGUGAACGAUUUUGACUAGAUAAUUAAUCAAUAGGAUAUCAAACUAGUUGGCGAGUCGUUUUACAUUAAAGCAUACGUUACACGAAUCGAUUAAAUUUCGCAUCAAUUGCACAUUUUUCUCUAUUACGAAUCUGUUUCAUUGCGAUCUAAAAUACGAUUUACCGUUUGAAAUAUAUCUGUAUCGUAGAUCCUCCAUAUAUGUUACUAUCAAAUCUGUACAUCGCAUACACAUCCCCUAACGUAAAAGAGAACAGAUGCGAAACAAACAUAUACCAGGUCCACAAAUUGCGUUCCACUAUCGUGGCAACGUCGAUUGAUAAAAUUCAUAAUAAUUAACAAGCUGUGUACCUUUACUAGAGAGAAUUGUUACAAAUACCGAUGGAGUUUGUAAACACAUAUUAAAAAUUAUUCCUCUCUGCUAUGA